RNAcentral lists this ribosomal RNA (508 nucleotides) under uncultured bacterium. RNAcentral's name for it is "bacterial SSU rRNA". It matches the Rfam family "Bacterial small subunit ribosomal RNA", at positions 40 to 518 of the family's 1533-position model. The record is from RNAcentral.
CGGCGUGCCUAAUACAUGCAAGUCGAACGGGUCUUUCUAUGGAAGCUUGCUUCCACUGAGAAGAUAGUGGCGAACGGGUGAGUAACAACGUGGGUAACCUGCCCAUAAGAGGGGGAUAACAUCCGGAAACGGGUGCUAAUACCGCAUAGUUUUUCUUGAUCGCAUGAUUGGGAAAGGAAAGACGGCCUUUGUGCUGUCGCUUAUGGAUGGACCCGCGGCGUAUUAGUUAGUUGGUAAGGUAACGGCUCACCAAGACGAUGAUACGUAGCCGACCUGAGAGGGUGAUCGGCCACAUUGGGACUGAGACACGGCCCAAACUCCUACGGGAGGCAGCAGUAGGGAAUCUUCCGCAAUGGACGAAAGUCUGACGGAGCAACGCCGCGUGAGUGAAAGAAGGUUUUCGGAUCGUAAAACUCUGUUGUCAGAGAAGAACAAGUUGGAGAGUAACUGCUCCAGCCUUGACGGUAUCUGACCAGAAAGCCACGGCUAACUACGUGCCAGCCGCGGC